Molecule: ribosomal RNA, 253 nt
Filed under: uncultured bacterium
Lineage: Bacteria
Description: partial 16S ribosomal RNA
Rfam family: Bacterial small subunit ribosomal RNA
Source: RNAcentral
GACGAACCGGCCAAACGUUAUUCGGAUUUAUUGGGCUUAAAGGGUGCGUAGGCUGUGCUGUAAGUCGGGUGUGAAAUCCCACGGCUCAACCGUGGAACUGCGCCCGAUACUGCAGUGCUCGAGGGAGACAGAGGUGAGCGGAACUGAUGGUGGAGCGGUGAAAUGCGUUGAUAUCAUCAGGAACACCGGUGGCGAAAGCGGCUCACUGGGUCUCUUCUGACGCUGAGGCACGAAAGCUAGGGUAGCGAACGGG